GGCUUCAGAAUGGUCAAGGAGAAUGAGGAUUGGGAAAUUGGAUUUGACAACUAAGAGAUCACUAGUAACAUUGUAGAAAGCAGUUUUGGUGGAAUGAGAAGGUUAGAAGUGAAAUUGUGAGAGGUUAAGAAAUAUGUGAGAGAAAAUGGAAGCUACAAAUAUAGAUGGUCUUUUUGAGGUUAGCGACAAAGGGCAGAAGAGAUAUAUGACAACAGUUGGUGGGGAUUGAAAGAUCAGGCACACAGUCUUCUGAGCUAGGCAAUGCAGACAUUAUCUGCGUUCUGCUCCAAACUGGGCAUCUGAGGCUCAAGAGGUUAAUUAACCUGUUUGUGGUGACCGAAUAUUCCUUGCCAACUACAUAUACGAUUCAACAUUGGAUGCAUUAGAGAUUACAGACUCCCAAGAAUUUCUGGCUGUGGGGUGAUCUAGUCUUGAAAAGGCGUGGCAUUUUUGUAUGAAGUACCAAACUUGGUCUUCUCCAUGACUCACGAUAGCAGGAAUGUUGGGCAAUGCAUUGCUUCAAAAAAGAGACAUCUUCCAGCUCUUUUGUAUGACAUGUAGAAUAUUUUGUUUCUAAUGGAGGAGAUAAGCUGUGUUCUUUUCUACAAUCCUCAGCUGCUCCAUGUAGAAUAAACACUCAACUAGGAAAGUGAAU
Molecule: long non-coding RNA, 655 nt
Filed under: Monodelphis domestica (gray short-tailed opossum)
Lineage: Eukaryota; Metazoa; Chordata; Mammalia; Didelphimorphia; Didelphidae
Description: lncRNA (ENSMODG00000042409.1)
Source: RNAcentral